Molecule: transfer RNA, 68 nt
Filed under: Cypraea tigris
Lineage: Eukaryota; Metazoa; Mollusca; Gastropoda; Littorinimorpha; Cypraeidae
Also listed under: 1 other name
Description: tRNA-Tyr
Rfam family: tRNA
About the family: Transfer RNA (tRNA) molecules are approximately 80 nucleotides in length.
Source: RNAcentral
UUGUUUGAUGGCUGAGGUACAAGCGGUAGACUGUAGAUCUAUUAACGGAGUUAAGUCUCCUCAACAAA